This is an RNA transcript of Pelobates fuscus (common spadefoot toad), 5134 nucleotides long. It is a transcript of the gene named ligand of Numb protein X 2-like, with no coding region annotated. Lineage: Eukaryota; Metazoa; Chordata; Amphibia; Anura; Pelobatidae. The record is from RefSeq and is a predicted model, not a curated record. The transcript has 11 exons.
UUUUUGGCAAUCAGAAGUUUUCUCAGCUGCUGAUUUACCUAUUUACAGGCCAACUAUUAAACCCCUGUGAUAGGAUGGACGCUGGCCCAUGUCACACAGCUGUGUAGGGACAUGCAGCUGUAACAGCUUGUAGCUUGCAGUCUUCCCCAGAAACCAUCCGGUCGCUGUAAGCUCUGGAGUCAGGGGUACUGUGCGUUACAGAAGAUAAUCAUGCAGCUUGGAUAGGUCGAUUUCUAAUCUAUUUAUUGGUGGACAAAGAACAAAGCCAUGGCAGAUCUCCUCACACCUACCGACACAGCCUCCAAACCACCAGAUCUUUGUUCUGAGUGUGGACAACCUCACCACGUCAACGAGAACCACAUUUACAACUUCCAGGAUGAAGUGGACGAUGAACUGGUCUGCCACAUAUGUCUUCAACCCCUGCUGCAGCCUAUGGACACUCCUUGCGGUCACACCUACUGCUUCAGGUGCUUGAAAAACUUUUUGAAGGAGAAGGACUUUUGUCCAAUGGACCGCAAGAAGCUUUGCUUCCAGGAAUGCCAUAAGUCCAGCCUACUAGUCAGGAAUUUGUUGGACAAACUGACUGUGAUCUGUCCUCUUCUGGCAGAAUGUAAGCAUGUCAUGCAGCGCUGUGAACUGGAGCCACACCUACGCAACAGGUGCGUAGGCUUCAAGAAAUACAGAGCAGAGACAGAAAGAAAGCGGAACCCCCUCUCCGUGGGGAAGGAACAUCAGGAUGCACAAACGCAGAUGCCCCAAGCAAGUGGAGUCUCCGAUAUUUUAGCUGAAUCUUCUAUCGCUGCUAUUGUAGCUCUUGGAACGUCUGAGCCUGGUCUGGUGAAUCCAGCAUUCGAUGAGCAGGAUGAUGAUCAGCCUCAGAGGACAAGUCUGGUAGCAGAAACAAACACCAUUGAAAUACGUCGAAAUGACCCUGAGGAUGAGCUUGGGAUGCGGAUUGUGGGUGGUCGGGACACACCUCUCGGGAACAUUGUAGUUCAAGAAGUUCUGAAAGACUCACUGGUGGCCACAGAUGGCAAACUGACACCUGGAGACCACAUCCUGGAAGUCAAUGGAAUGAACAUCAGCAACGUGUCUCAUAGUCAAGCCAUUGCCCUGCUUCGCCAACCCUGUGCUGCCCUGUACCUCACAGUACUCCAGGAGAAAGGUUUCUCUCAGAGAUCUUUACAUCCAGAGAGCAGCAACUCUGCCAGUGCCAACAAGGAAGUAAUCCAUGUCACUCUAAUGAAGAGAGAUCGCACUGAGCCACUUGGCAUCAAGCUGGUCAGGAAGACAGAGGAAACUGGAGUCUUUGUUCUAGAUCUAUUAGACGGUGGCCUGGCUGCAAAGGAUGGCAAGUUAAAGUGUAACGACAGGGUUCUGUCCAUCAACGGGCAGGAUCUCAGGCAAGGAACACCUGAAACAGCCGCACAGAUUAUCCAGAUGAGUGAAGCUCGAGUGAACUUUGUGGUCCUCAGGCAGGCUGCAGCUCAAGCCAUGGAUAUAAGUGAAGAGGGGACUUCUUCUGGAAAUAGCAGCAGCAGCAGCAGUGGUGGGAGCCCUGUACUUCCACGCAAGAGGCCUAAUCAGCGUCCAUAUAGAAGAAAAUCCACAAACCAAAAACAGGACAUGCCUCAGACUCUCUAUGGCGUAGAGAAGGUGGUUACGGUAAAGAAAGAGCCAAGGGAAUCUCUUGGAAUAACCAUAGGAGGUGGACGGGAUCAUAAAAACAAGCUUCCCAUCUUUGUGUCCAGUAUUCAGCCAGUUGGAUGUUUGUACAGAGAUGGCCGAAUCCGCAGAGGGGACGUGCUCCUGAGCAUUAACGGGACUGACCUUACAUCACUGGGCUAUUUGGAAGCAGUGUCUGUACUGAAGUCCAAUGCAGCUUCUCAUACAGUUGUUCUGAAAACUCUGGAGUUUGCGCUGGGAGAGAAGCCAAACGAGGUGAUAGAGGGAACUGCUGAAAUACCAAGAGAACGUGGUGGGAUGUGGUCUCCACUUUGGGUAUCGUGGCUUUCUUUACCCAGCACUCUCCACUGGUGUCGGCAUAUUUCUUUACGGAAGAGCACGUUUGAAAGCUGGGGAUUCAGCAUCGUUGGAGGUUACGAGGAGACCAAAGGCAAUCAGCCAUUCUUCAUUAAAACAAUAGUGCCGGCCACACCAGCUUUUUUUGAUGGACGCUUGAAGUGUGGCGAUGAGAUUGUUGAAGUAAAUGGUGUGUCUGCAGCAGGAAUGAGUAACUCACAGCUGAUCCCCAUGUUGAAAGAACAGAAGAAUAGGGUCACUUUAACCGUGGUAUCGUGGCCUGGGAGUUUAGUCUGAAAAUGCCAAAGUCCAUACCAUUGAACUUUAUUGAGCCCAAUGCAAAAUGUACUGGAAAUACAACGUUCUUUCCUUCUUCUGCCCUGUGCCUUUAGAACAUCCCAGGAACCUGAACAAUGAAUGAUUGUUGUAAGCUAAUCUGAAAACUACUGACAUGGAUUGUAGGAGCAUGUUGUUCACCAGCAUCUUUUAAUUGGGGGUGGGGGGGGAACUAGAUGCAUUUUCAUUAAGGGUUGAAAUAUUUGCCUACUGUGUGUUUUGAUAGUUUAGUCUCUAAAGCUUAAUUUGUAGUUGCAGUGAUUGUGCCACAAUGUAAUAUAUCCAAGGAAAACUGUCAAACAUUAAUUUUACAGAUCCAUUGUUUUAUGGGUAUCGGCAAGAUAUUUAUGGAAGUGCCUUAACAUUUCCAGCUAGAGGGUGUUAUUUCAUUUUACAAGUAAAUGACGCAAAACUAAUCUGAUAUUACUGGACUGAACAAACUCAAACAUCGAACAAGAUGAAGGAAUACUACCAGCUAAAAAUGAAAAAUGUACAUAAAAACAAGCCCCUGACCUUUACACUCUGGUCUUAUUAAUGUAUGUGACGACAUGUCUAAAUUCUGGCCCAUUGUCUAAAUGUAUUUAUUAUUAGAUUUCACCACAACAAACCACUUUACUGACCUAGGUAUCGUGCGACUCUUACAAACUGAAAAUUCCCCUUUUAAUUUCUGUAAGAUUUUUAAUAUCCUGUUAAAUUAUCUUCUAUAUUUAACACAUGUUUGUAAAGGUCUGAAAAAUCUAAGUAAAUGUAGGAAUUCACACUGCUUUAUUUUUCUCUACACUGGAACUGAGAGCCUCUAUAUUUGCACCCUUUAAUUCAUUAUUAUAAGCUGUACACUUUUUUGUCAUUUAAAGGGACACUAUAGUCACCAGAACAACUACAGCUUAUUGUAUUUGUUCUGGUGAGUAGAAUCAUUCCCUGCAGGGUUUUGCUGUAAAUGUUUUUUUUUUCAGUGAGAAUGCUAUGUUUACAUUACAGCCUAGGGAUAACUCCACUGGCCACUCCUCAGAUGGCUGCUAGAGGUGCUUCCUGGGUCAUUCAUUGUCUUUACCCUCUGCAUGCAGACACUGAACUUUCAUCAUAGAAAUGCAUUGAUUCAAUGGAUCUCUAUGAGGAGGUGCUGAUUGGCCAGGGCUGUUUUUGACUUGUGCUGGCUUUGCCUCCAUGACGAUCUCCGCCAAUCCUAUUGGAAAGCAUUGUGAUUGGUUCACAGAAUCACUUCUGAUGAUAUCAGGCAUGCGGACAGGUCAGAUGUAGCAGCUGCAGACUUGAAUACAAGUAAGAUUUUACUAUAUUUAGUGAGGCAAAGGAGGUGUAGGGGUGGGGUAGAUGUUUGUUUUAACACUAUAGAGUCAGGAAUACAUGUUUGUCUUCCUUACCCUACAGUGUUCCUUUAAUAUUCAUUUGAAAAAACCUUUUGUAUUUGUAAGCCAACCUAGAUACCAUUUGUAACUUGCAUCAAAGCUCUAUAAGAGACAGAAAUAAUCCAAUGGCUAUAAAGGUAGAAGAUGGGGAAACAAGCUGUGUAUUCUCCAAUGUACUCUGUGCCAUGGCUGUUCCUAGAGUGAACAGAAUCUGAACAGAAUCUGAUGUCAUUUAAUACAUCUGUUUAAUAGACAUCUAAAAGAAAAUCAAGCAUCAAAUUGAAAAGGUUAACACAAAUUCUAGGCUAUGUUCAAUGUUUUAUGCAGUGGCGUAAAUUCUAAGAUUCUAAAAGUAAAAUGACAGGGGCCUUAAUUUUGUUUUUAACGCAUACCUGCACUUUGUAUCCCAUUAAACAAUGGAAUUUGUGUUCUGAUUGUAUCUUGGAUAACAUUUUAACAAAAGAUUGUGAUCUGACAACUCUAUCUUUUGAAUGGUAUUUAAGUAAAAUGAAGUUGGCUGUAGGACAGCAUGUUUUAAUUUUAAUUUUUACAAUUUUGCCUUAUAUUUGUAUGCUUGUCAUGAUCUGAAAUGGCUGUAAUACUUCAUGUCUUAAAGGGGCCGUGUAUCCUGAAAUAACUACGGCUUAAUUGCAUGUAAAUGUGUAGUCAAUUCUUCUGACCCACUUUUAGUUAAACAGUUAUACUCUAUAAUUUACUUAUACUUGAUAAUGAUACCUUUCAGGCCACAUCAGCUAGAGAAAGCAUUAUUAAGAUAAGGGUUAGUCUGAUUGUAAUUUUCGAAAUGGAGACUUGAUGCUACGAAGCAUUACACACUUCAUAAAUCCCUUUAAGCCAAAAUCAUUAGAUCUUUAAGUCUGAAAUGUUUCUUAAUAAAUUAUUGCUUUAAUCCAGUAUUGCUGGCUGGACUUGCAAUUCCUUGCAAGAUCCCUGGCAUUACACAGACUGUAUCUGUAUAGUUCUAACACCAAUGGAUGUUGAGUUUGUAUAUGUCUUUCCCUGUCCUUGUAAAUUAGUUAUUUGUAUUGUACUUAUCAGAUUUUCUAAGGUUGUUGCUUUAAACUGUUUUUCAUUGUAUGUAAUAUAAUUAUAUUGUGCUGCAGCUUGGUUGACCAGAUAUGUUUCAUCACCCUCUACAAAAUGUGUAGUCCAUUAUGCGCUGGUUCAGUUCUUCUGGUGCCCUGCCAUCCAAAAUUGUUUGCUGAGAUUGGGAGCAUCAUGAUAAAUGAAGUCCUCUACAGAUAUUACAUGCCAGUGGUUAGCCACCAUUACUGAGCAUUGAAUAACGAGAAUGGUCCUGAUUCACAAAUUGCCCAUCUCAGGGAAAUUCUUUGUAACCAAUGAGUGAUUUUAUAAUAUUACAAAAUAAAGUUUACAAAAAAAUAAAACCUUUA